ACGAACGCUGGCGGCGUGCUUAACACCUGCCAGUCGCACGGUAAGGCCCUUUCGGGGGUACACGAGUGGCGAACGGGUGAGUAACACGUGGGUGAUCUGCCCUGCACUUUGGGAUAAGCCUGGGAAACUGGGUCUAAUACCGGAUAGGACUACGCGAUGCAUGUCGUGUGGUGGAAAGCUUUUGCGGUGUGGGAUGGGCCCGCGGCCUAUCAGCUUGUUGGUGGGGUGAUGGCCUACCAAGGCGACGACGGGGAGCCGGCCUGAGAGGGUGUCCGGCCACACUGGGACUGAGAUACGGCCCAGACUCCUACGGGAGGCAGCAGUGGGGAAUAUUGCACAAUGGGCGCAAGCCUGAUGCAGCGACGCCGCGUGGGGGAUGACGGCCUUCGGGUUGUAAACCCCUUUCAGCACAGACGAAGCGUAAGUGACGGUAGGUGCAGAAGAAGCACCGGCCAACUACGUG
This 463-nucleotide ribosomal RNA is filed under the name uncultured bacterium. RNAcentral describes it as "partial 16S ribosomal RNA". It matches the Rfam family "Bacterial small subunit ribosomal RNA", at positions 29 to 507 of the family's 1533-position model. The record is from RNAcentral.